GCCUGGGUGGCUCAGCGGUUGAGCGCCUGCCUUUGGCCCAGGGUGCGAUCUUGGAGUCCUGGGAUCAAGUCCCACAUCAGGCU
This 83-nucleotide transfer RNA is filed under the name Canis lupus familiaris (dog). It matches the Rfam family "tRNA". From Rfam's summary of the family: Transfer RNA (tRNA) molecules are approximately 80 nucleotides in length. Their secondary structure includes four short double-helical elements and three loops (D, anti-codon, and T loops). Further hydrogen bonds mediate the characteristic L-shaped molecular structure. tRNAs have two regions of fundamental functional importance: the anti-codon, which is responsible for specific mRNA codon recognition, and the 3' end, to which the tRNAs corresponding amino acid is attached (by aminoacyl-tRNA synthetases). tRNAs cope with the degeneracy of the genetic code in two manners: having more than one tRNA (with a specific anti-codon) for a particular amino acid; and 'wobble' base-pairing, i.e. permitting non-standard base-pairing at the 3rd anti-codon position. Lineage: Eukaryota; Metazoa; Chordata; Mammalia; Carnivora; Canidae. The record is from Rfam by way of RNAcentral. RNAcentral also lists the same sequence under 1 other name.